RNAcentral lists this ribosomal RNA (253 nucleotides) under uncultured bacterium. RNAcentral describes it as "partial 16S ribosomal RNA". It matches the Rfam family "Bacterial small subunit ribosomal RNA", at positions 524 to 776 of the family's 1533-position model. The record is from RNAcentral.
UACGUAGGGGGCAAGCGUUGUCCGGAAUCAUUGGGCGUAAAGAGCGUGUAGGCGGCUCGAUAAGUCUGCUGUGAAAGUCCAGGGCUCAACCCUGGAAGGCCGGUGGAAACUGUCGGGCUAGAGUCCGGAAGAGGCGAGUGGAAUUCCCGGUGUAGCGGUGAAAUGCGCAGAUAUCGGGAGGAACACCAAUGGCGAAGGCAGCUCGCUGGGACGGUAUUGACGCUGAGACGCGAAAGCGUGGGGAGCAAACAGG